This 22-nucleotide non-coding RNA is filed under the name Arabidopsis thaliana (thale cress). The record is from RNAcentral. Lineage: Eukaryota; Viridiplantae; Streptophyta; Magnoliopsida; Brassicales; Brassicaceae.
UCUGAUUCAGUUCUUUCGGUUC